Molecule: long non-coding RNA, 3563 nt
Filed under: Homo sapiens (human)
Lineage: Eukaryota; Metazoa; Chordata; Mammalia; Primates; Hominidae
Description: HSALNT0327395
Source: RNAcentral
GAGAAUCGAUUGAAAUAGUAUAUGAAGUGGUUUGAAAAUAGGUACAAACUAUUGACAUUUCAAUGUCAGAGAGUGAUACCUGUAGUAGUAUAGGCAAAGGUCCAACCCCAUCGAAAGGCUUAAACAUUUACCUUUUCUGAAAAACUAUUGAAAUAUAAAGAGAGUCCCCAGUCACAGGGGCAACUUCUGUAACCAAAUCCAGAUCUGAGGAAACUCCUGUAACCCCAUUUGGGGUUUCUUUCUAAGCCAAUAGGGUUACAGGUUGGUACAGUGACACAUUGAGAAUGGGGCUACAAAUACUUUUCCCACCAUCUAGGAUGAAAUACACGAAAUCCUGUUGAAAUCUUGGUUUUUAUGCCUUUGCUCAUCAGAAUAAACGUAAAUGCUGAAAAACAAAUAACCUCCUGAUCCACUGUCUUGCCUCCUGGUGAGAAAUGAUUCUAUCCCCUGUUUAUUGGGAAAUUUCCAAAGUUGUUCAUCACUUAAAUGCCGUAUUCAAAGGGAACAUGGAAGGAUGAAGCGGAGAAAGUGCCUUCGAGACAUUCACACAUUUCUCUGGACUCAGUCUGUUAACAUAUCAGGGAGCUUGUCAGAUCACACCUUUUUGCCUUGGAAAUCCUACAGAUUUCCUGUACGCCUUCAUAUCUGAUUCUUCCCUAAAACCUUUGGGUAUGAUUUCCUCCCUGGUCUUGAUAAUGUCCUGCAGUCUGUGUUUUAUAAUUAUUCUUUGUAUUUAUUGAAUCUAGACUUUAAGUUAUUCAGAGAUCAGACCAGAACCUUAGAGUUUCUAAACUGUAUGUGGAUAUUAAAUAAUAUUAAUAAUGAAAGAGCUACCAAAAUAGUCUAUAUUGUGUGAACAAUCUCUUGGGAUAUUAGACGUGUUUAAAGACCAGUGUUGCUGCUAUUUUUAAUAUUUUGGUUAAUUUAAGUGAAAUGUACAUAUUUUAAUUUGAAGAUUUAUCUUGCCCAUCAGAAUGUGAAGAUAUACUUGCAUAUAUUUUGACAUAUUUCAUGGAAAAUAAAAAUGAUAAUCCACUUUGUGAGUGUAAGUGAAUGUAUUCAUAUGUAUGUUAUUAUAAAUGAUUUUUGUUUGCACUGAUGAUGAAAUGAGAGUUUUGGGGGCUUUUUAUACAUUUAUAUCGACUGGUCUCUAAAUCUCCUAUUUUGUUUUCUUAUCAUUUUUGAAAUACAGUUCCCAUUACAUGAGUUUUAAAUAGAUUGGUGUUUCAUUUUGUAUUAUGCUACUACUAGAUGUUGAUUCUCUGGUAUUGUAAAAUAAAAUGUGCUCCAAAAACCCAAACCCUUGGACUUUAUGAGCUUUCCUUUCUCUGGUUUUGCUGAUUCCCCACAAAGAUUCUUUCAGUUUAUGGCACUUGCCCCUUAUUUAAAGAGCAGAGUUUAUUUCACUUCAGUGUAAAAGAAAUUCAGCAUGUGUAUUAUACACAAUAUAGGCACAUGAACUUAAGCCAUUUAAUUUGGUAAAGUCUCAAAGAGUCUUCCAGGAUUUACCUGUCUUCCUCCUACUUCAGGUUGGUUUCUCCUGUAAGAUUAAUAAGAUAAAUACUCUUGUUUGCUUGAUUACUUUAUGGAAGUAGUUUUCAAUAGGGUAGGUUGAACUUUUUAUCUCAGGUCCCUCACUUCCUGGAAAAUCAAUAUUCUUCCCUUUCUACCUUUUUUUUUUUUUUUUUUUUUUUUGAGAUGGAGUCUCGCACUGUCACCCAGACUAGAGUGCAGUGGUGCGAUCUCGGCUCACUGCAACCUCCGCCUCCCGGGAUCAAGCAAUUCUCCUGCCUCAGCCUCCCAAGUAACUGGGAUUACAGGUGCCCGCCACCAUGCCCAACUAAUUUUUUGUAUUUUUAGUAGAGACAGGGUUUCACUAUGUUGGCCAGGCUGGUCUCAAACUCCUGACCUCGUGAUCCUCCCAAAGUGCUGGGAUUACAGGCAUAAGCCAAGGCACCCAGCCAAGAUUCUUCCCUUUCUUUGAAGGACUCCUGCCUUGGUUGUGAGCACGCAGACACCCCCAGUGUCCCCAGGCCUUGCUGGUGGAGGAUUCCUGAUGAGCUUCUGCUCUGUUCUCCCAGCUCUACUGAGCUGAGUAUUUGUUAUCAUCAACCCCCACCCGCUGAGAAGCUCCCUGGCCAUUUUUCUUUCACCAUUUCUAAACCCAUAACAGUCACCAGCCUACCCAGUAUGUAGAUAUGCCAGGGGUUUGCAUAUUUCACUCACAAAUCUCAAUCCAUCUCAAGGAAUUUGGGGCAUUUGGGGAAUCUUCAACCUAAAAAAAUAAACACUAUACUCAACCUAAGGUUAAUUCUAGCUCUUACCAAGCUGGACAACUGUGCAAAUUCACAGUAAUUUCAGGAACAGGGGACUAUUUUUUGGUGCCAGUGGUGGUGAGGCAGGUCUAUACACAGCAUCAUAUUAAAGACUGAUUUGAUUCCUACAUAAGUUUCAUAUUUUUUUGUUCCCAUUGGCACCUACAAAUCUACACCUAAAUUGGGACAAUUGGCUUCUAGUUACAUGAAACUGAUUAUGAGGAAACUGUGGCAAGAGAGAAUGAAUAGAUGAUUGUAAAUUUGUUCUCAGUACUGGAAAAAAAAUCUGGUGAUGCAAAACAAACGGCUUCAGAGACAGAUGAUCAGGGUGUUAACCCACGUGGACACACCAAAGCCACAGGAAGACUCUUCAUCGGGCCUUACAUACAACCUUCCCACAGAGCAGCAAAGCACGCCCUCCUGGAGCACCCUCGGUUGAAUCAUGCAUAAGACAAACAGCCAGAAAAGAAUCUCAGGGAAAAUCAUGGCCAGGAACCUGGAUCCAUCAGAAAAUUGAAGUCACAGGACAAACCUCACUCUGAAAAUUGGAGACACAGGCAAAUAAAGAGGAUCCCAACUUACCAAGAGUAGAAGCCCACAUCUGGAGCACACAGGUGGCUGCUGCGUCUCCAGGCUUCCUGUCCCUGUGCCAUCAGAAAAGAAGGUGUGAGGGAGGAGUGCAGGAGGGCAAGAGAAAAAUGUCUUCCCAGAAACUCAGCGUAUGUCUCAGUGGUCAGAAAAAAUUAGCUGCUAUGUGCCACUGUCCUAGGUACUGAGAAUAUAAUGAUGAGCAAAACCAGACACUGUCCCCAGCCUUACAGAGCUCACACCUGUGACAUCCAUCCUAGCAUAUAUAAGCAGACUUUCAGAAAAUUCACCCUAACAGACGGCUUUGCCUUGUUAGGAGACAUCAUGCGCAGCCCACAAGGGAUGUGUCUGCUGCUCUAAGAUCCAGAACAUUGUCUCUGUGACCCAUGACUACAUCCUACUGUGUCGGCAAGGCCAGGACUUGGAAUGAGUUUCCCGAUGGAGCCUGCCACUCACUGGGUCCUUUGUGGGAAUCAGCACAUGGAGAAGACUAAGUUUUAUGGACUGAAUUGUGCCCCUCCCCCCAGAAAAUCAUGCUGGAAUCCUAACCCACAGUGUCUCAGGAUAGGACUGUACUGAAGAUAUGAUGAUUAAAUUAAACAAGUUGAUUAAAUUAGGAUGAGGUCCUAUGGGUGGGCCCUAAUCCAAAGUGCAUGUGUC